AGCUGGUAAAAUGGAACCAGAUCAACUACUCAACGGAUUUGGUCCCCUUCAACCAGCUAU
Molecule: microRNA precursor, 60 nt
Filed under: Eptatretus burgeri (inshore hagfish)
Lineage: Eukaryota; Metazoa; Chordata; Myxini; Myxiniformes; Myxinidae
Description: Ebu-Mir-133-P7-v2_pre stem-loop
Rfam family: mir-133 microRNA precursor family
About the family: mir-133 was first experimentally characterised in mouse and homologues have since been discovered in several other species.
Source: RNAcentral